Molecule: ribosomal RNA, 465 nt
Filed under: Vreelandella stevensii
Lineage: Bacteria; Pseudomonadati; Pseudomonadota; Gammaproteobacteria; Oceanospirillales; Halomonadaceae
Description: partial 16S ribosomal RNA
Rfam family: Bacterial small subunit ribosomal RNA
Source: RNAcentral
CCUACGGGGUGCAGCAGUGGGGAAUAUUGGACAAUGGGCGAAAGCCUGAUCCAGCCAUGCCGCGUGUGUGAAGAAGGCCUUCGGGUUGUAAAGCACUUUCAGUGGGGAAGAAAGCCUUGGGGCUAAUACCCUCGAGGAAGGACAUCACCCACAGAAGAAGCACCGGCUAACUCCGUGCCAGCAGCCGCGGUAAUACGGAGGGUGCGAGCGUUAAUCGGAAUUACUGGGCGUAAAGCGCGCGUAGGCGGUCUGAUAAGCCGGUUGUGAAAGCCCCGGGCUCAACCUGGGAACGGCAUCCGGAACUGUCAGGCUAGAGUGCAGGAGAGGAAGGUAGAAUUCCCGGUGUAGCAGUGAAAUGCGUAGAGAUCGGGAGGAAUACCAGUGGCGAAGGCGGCCUUCUGGACUGACACUGACGCUGAGGUGCGAAAGCGUGGGUAGCAAACAGGAUUAGAUACCCGUGUAGUC